This 679-nucleotide ribosomal RNA is filed under the name uncultured bacterium. RNAcentral describes it as "bacterial SSU rRNA". It matches the Rfam family "Bacterial small subunit ribosomal RNA", at positions 111 to 787 of the family's 1533-position model. The record is from RNAcentral.
UAACACGUAUGCAACCUACUUUUACAGAGGGAUAGCCCAGAGAAAUUUGGAUUAAUACCUCAUAAAUUUUUUAACUCGCAUGAGUUUUAAAGUUAAAACUUCGGUGGUAAAAGAUGGGCAUGCGUUCUAUUAGUUUGUUGGUGAGGUAACGGCUUACCAAGACUACGAUAGAUAGGGGUUCUGAGAGGAUAGUCCCCCACACUGGUACUGAGACACGGACCAGACUCCUACGGGAGGCAGCAGUGAGGAAUAUUGGUCAAUGGUCGAAAGACUGAACCAGCCAUGUCGCGUGAAGGAUGACGGCCCUAUGGGUUGUAAACUUCUUUUGUAUGGGAAGAAAAGCAGUUACGUGUAAUUGUCUGCCGGUACCAUACGAAUAAGGAUCGGCUAACUCCGUGCCAGCAGCCGCGGUAAUACGGAGGAUUCAAGCGUUAUCCGGAUUUAUUGGGUUUAAAGGGUGCGUAGGCGGCUCUAUAAGUCAGUAUGUGAAAUCUCGAAGCUCAACUUCGAACGUGCUAUUGAAACUGUAGAGCUUGAGUACAGACGAGGCAGGCGGAAUGUGUUGUGUAGCGGUGAAAUGCUUAGAUAUAACACAGAACACCGAUAGCGAAGGCAGCUUGCCAGACUGUAACUGACGCUGAGGCACGAAAGCGUGGGGAGCGAACAGGAUUAGAUACCU